Long non-coding RNA from Nyctereutes procyonoides (raccoon dog), 4806 nucleotides. RefSeq lists it as uncharacterized. The transcript is spliced from 2 exons. The record is from RefSeq and is a predicted model, not a curated record. NCBI's taxonomy places the organism in Eukaryota, Metazoa, Chordata, Mammalia, Carnivora, Canidae.
CAUUCAUGGAAAUAUUCUGAAAAGAUUAAUUUCUGGCAUACAGUUUUCAAUUCAGUUUUUUGUUUAGCAUAUUUGUAAUAGAUUUUGAGCCUACUCUAAAAAAUGUUGGCAUUGAGAACUAGGUAGUAUUUAAUGAAAAUCAUGAUUUAAUAGCAUGUUUUAUGUGGUUUGUUUCUUUUUAUGUUUACUUAAUUUUUUUAAGGAUUUUAUUCAUUCACGAGAGACACAGAGAGUGAGAGACGCAAAGACAUAAGCAGAGAGAGAAGCAGGCUCCCUGCAAGGAACCUGAUGCGGGACUCGAUCCUGGACCCGGGAUCCUGCCCUGAGCCAAAGACAGAUGCUCAACCAUGGAGCCACCCAGGCGUCCUGGCUUGUUUCUUUUUAAUUUAGAGUAGUACAGUUAUAUUUGAGAUCUUCAUUACAUUUUAUUUACCAGAACUCAAUGUUCUUUCUUAACUUGGAAACUAAGGGCUUUUCCAAUUCUUAAACGCCUGGCAGAAGUAGAAUAGCUGGAUGAGAACCUGGGAAGAGAAAUUAUGGAGGAUGUGGCGAAAAAGUGGGAGGAGAAUAUGGACAUUUUGGCAGCACCAAACUUGAAGAGAUGACAGAGGGUAUAGCAUUAAAGUAACCAUGCAGAAUUGGAAAUACAUGACUUAGCGCUUCCCCUGCCCCAGGAAAUUUCAAGUAUACUGGCACGUGCUCAGUGUCUCCAGAGGUGUCUGAGUGAUUGGCCUAUGUUCUAGGCUUUAUCCUAAUCAGGAAGAUGCUUCCACCCUGUUGGUUCUCCUUGACGUCAUUAGGGAUACAAAUGUGCGAUGCAAAUUUAUUGAAUGAACUAAGCUAAUGAAUAAAUACAUAAGCCUUUAAUAUCAGCCCCCUAUUUAUUUGUCUUUAAAGUUCAUAUCAAUACAUGCUCCUAGAUUCUUAUUUCAUCUAAUGGGAUAGAAUCUACUACUAAUGUUCUUUGUUUUGAUGCUCAAAUGAUUUGCUUUGCCCUGUAGGGGCUCCUUCAAGAUGGUUUGCUUAUCCUUUUGAAACAUGCCUUUGAUUAUUUGAAUACUUUUUUGCUUCCUUAUAUAACAAAAUAUUACAAUUUUAUCUUGCUCUUUCUCUUCCUCAGUUCUAGAAUUUGCCUUUCCCUCCCCCCCAGGGAACCCUAUUCCUUUUAGUGGAGAAUCAUAUUUAGAAACCAAGAUAUGAAAUUUUGGCUUAAUUGUUGUCAUUAGUGGGUUAUUAUUUCUAAGCCCUUUCAGUGGGCAGAACUAGGAAAUGUAUAUAGAGGCAUUUCAAGUAUAUUUAUAUAUAUUAACAACACAUAUAUUAAAAAAUUAUUUCAAACUGAUACUUCCAAUUAACAUCACAAGUCCCUUUACUUUUUAUCAGAAGAGAGAAAUCAUUGGCUUAACAUGAACAAAACACUAGCAUUUGGGAGAUUUUUUACAGAGAGAAAGAGAGAGCAAGAAGGCACAACUAGGGGAAAGGGCAGAGAGAGGGAGAAGGAGACUGCCCGCUGAACAGGGAGCCUGACUCAGGUCUCAAUACCAAGACCCCAGGAUCAUGACCUGAGCUGAAGGUGGAUGCUUAACCAACUGAGCCAUCCAGGCACCCCAAAAUAAUAGCAUUUUUGAAAGAACAGUAUUUGUUACCUAUAUAAAAUGGGCCUGGAAAGUAAUAAUAUUGAUCUCAUACAAAGCCCACUGAAAUAUGUUUCAUUAAUAUUUAAACAUAAUGUAUAUUAGAAUCUUAGAUAUCAGAGGGAGAGGGAGACAUUUUCAAAUUCUGAUCUAGAUGUUAUACAGUAGACUUGCAGUGUUGUUCUGGAUCUGUGUUAGAAUAGAAAAAGAGAUCGUGGGGCAAAAACUUGUCUUAAUCCUUCAAAUGUUGUUAACCACAUAGAGAAAGCAUAUUAAGCAUACAUUACACCCAGAAUCUUGAAAUGAAUGCAUAUUUAUGAGAGGAAUAUAAACAAACAAGGAAGUGGUACAGUGAGACACUGACAUAAUGCACUACCUACUUGGGAAAAAUACUUUUUUUCUCUUUGGAUAAAUACAGAUACAAUACUAGCCAUUCCACUUAGCAGUAGCUUGACUACCAACAUGAAUAACUUGUUCAGAGAUGAAGAGGAGGAGUUGUGAACAUCUAAACAUUAGGAUUUGCAUCAUAAUAGUGCUAGGACUACAUAUUCUAACAGAAUUUUCUCCCAGCAUGUCUUGGAGAACUUUUAUCCAAUGGUCUGUGUCUCCCCUACUAGUUUGAAAACCAAAGCCUCUCUCCUUGUUUUACUAAUCCCAAAGAUUAAUUCAGUUGAAGUCCAUGAUUUUUCUUUACUGGUUCCUUUGCUUUAUCUAGAAAAAUAAAAUGUAAAAAAUAUAAUUUGGCAGGUUGAAAUGUGUUUUCUGUAGUAUAGUAAAACAGUUCAUUUUAAUACUGCAUCAUAUAUGCACUUGCUAAACAUUGCAUUGUAAUGAAUUAAUGACCAGAAAAUAAUGUAAAUACAUGUGUAUAUAUUUGUGUAAUAUGUGUUAGCUUCAGAAAUCAUUUUUUAAAAGUGAAUACCUAAGGGGCACCUGGGUAGCUCAGUCGGUUAAGUGUCUGACUCUUGAGCUCAGCUUGGGUCUUGACCUCAAGGUCACUGAGUUCAAGCCCCACUGAGUUAAAAAAAAAAAAAGGAAGACCUGAAGAAGCUAUGACUAUAAUUUAAAACAUGUUUUGACCAGUGUUAGAAGGAAAAAUUAAUUAACAACGAUUAAGUAGUUAUAUGUGAUAUACACCAUGUGUAUUGCAUCUUAUUUAAUUAUCAAACAAUAUAUUUGCUAAAGCUGCCAUUCCCCCAUUUUAUGGAAGAAGAAACUGAGAUUACAUACUUCAUUAAACUUGGUCAACUUCUUGUAACUAAUACUAGUGCUUGGAUCAAGCCACAUAUUUUUGACUCUAGACCCUGUAUUCUCUUGAGGGCAUCUCAUAAAGCUUUUCACUGCCCCUGCCCAAAAACAACUUUUGCUAAAUUGAUUCUUUGCUUCUUGAUCUGUAAAAGAAGGAUGUUGGCCUCUCUUAGUGAUCUCCAUGUUUUUAAUAAGCAAUAAAUAACAUUCACCACACAUAAUAGUUUCUCUGUUCUAUAUUCAUUAUUGCAAAACAACUAUGGCUCAGUGAUGCUUUGAACUCAGUUUCAAUUUUAUAAUUUAAAACACAUUUGUAUACAUAUGAAAAUACCAGUUGUGACAAGAGAAUAGAAAGCUUUGUUUUGAAAGUAAUUUGUAACUGACAGUUGACCAUAGACAUAUUGCAAAGGUGGGGGCCACAUACAGGGGUAAAAGUUGGCCUGGAGUUAUUUUUUUCUAUUUCUUUCUCUUGUAAAACAGUUGUAGCCGUUACACAUUCUUAUUGAAGUAGAAUUAACAUACAGUGUUACAUUCAUUUCAGAUGUACUAUAUGAUGAUUCAGCAAUUCUGUACAUUACUCAGUGCUUAUCAUGAUAAAUGUACUCUUAAUCCCUCUCAUCUAUUUCACCCAUUCCCCUUCUCUACCUCCCCUCUAGUAACCACUAGUUUGUUCUUGUAUUUAAGAGUUUGGUUUUUUGUUUGUCUUUUUUUAUUUGUUUGUGAUUCAACAAUUUUAUAGACUACUUAGUGCUCAUCACAAUAAAUGUGCUUUUUUUCACCCAUUCCCAACCCACCUCUGUAACUACCAAUUUUUUCCUAUAUUUAAGAGUCUGGCUUUCUUUUUUGGGGGGAGGUCUCUUCUUUUUUCUUUGUUCAUUUGUUUUGUUUCUUAAAUUCUACAUAUGAGUGAAAUCACAUGGUAUUUGUCUUCUUCUGAUUUAUUUCACUUAGCAUUGUAUCCUCUAGGUCCAUCCAUGUUGUUGCAGAUGGCGAGAUCUCGCUUAUUUUUAUGUUCCUCCACAUUAUAUUUAUCCAUUCAUUAUGGAUGGACACUUGGGUUGCUUCUGUAUCUUGGCUAUUGUAAAUAAUGCUGUAAUAAACAUAAGGGUGCCUGAAGUCAUCUUAAAUGAACUCUAUCCAAAAGGACUGCCUAAUAAGCAAUGGGAUUCCAAAAGAGAGUCUAUGAAGACAUGAACCUGCUGAGAACCAAAUCACAGUGAACUGUAGGUGAGAGAUGCCUACCAAUAAAUGGAGAGAGAAGUAAAUAGUCUGAGGAAUCCUGCAAGGAACUGAAACACUGUGCAAGGGGGGGGGAACAAGCCCCAGCUUUGAUACCUGUCAAACUAGACAGCAAUGAUGGUGACCAAUAAAAGUACCAGCAGGCAGGAGUUUUCCUACACCCUCAUCUCUCCACCAUCUUGAACCCUGUUGUGAUCAGAAUCAGUGCAAGUUAACAACUGAUACAAAGAAAGACAAGUUGGGAAAAUAGAGGAAUAUCUAUCCAAGCCACUCUGUAUACUGCAGGCCUGCCUUCUGUUGCAUGACUGAUUAGCCUACAACACAACUGAAGAGGGAGAAGCCAUCAUGCCUCUAUGAUUAGACAAGUCUGAAGAUAAAAGCUUCACUGUGAGGAUAAUGGAACAAAGUGCUAGAAUGGGCCUGCACUCCCUUGCCUUAGACUUGUGGAAGGAAAAUAAAAUGCUGUUACAAGUUUAAUCCACAGAGAUGGGCUUCUGUUUCCUGCAUUUCAAUACAUCACAGUUCAUAAAUUUAUAUAAUUGGCAAAAGUAUCCAUUUUAAAGAUUAACAGAUACCUAACUCUCAGUUAAAUCUCAGAAAAAUAGAUUUUUAAUCCGUUGUGAUUUUGAAAUUGAUCUCUCAGUCUUUCAGCCAUCAAACUAUUAAAUACAUUUAAACAUUGUUA